This 253-nucleotide ribosomal RNA is filed under the name uncultured bacterium. Its description in RNAcentral is "partial 16S ribosomal RNA". It matches the Rfam family "Bacterial small subunit ribosomal RNA", at positions 524 to 776 of the family's 1533-position model. The record is from RNAcentral.
UACGUAGGGGCCGAGCGUUGUCCGGAGUUAUUGGGCGUAAAGCGCGCGCAGGCGGCUCGUCAAGUCUGGCGUGAAAGCCCCCGGCUCAACCGGGGAGGGUCGUCGGAGACUGGCGAGCUUGAGGGCGGUAGGGGCUGGUGGAAUUCCCGGUGUAGUGGUGAAAUGCGUAGAGAUCGGGAGGAACACCCGUGGCGAAGGCGGCCAGCUGGGCCGUCCCUGACGCUGAGGCGCGAAGGCGUGGGGAGCGAACGGG